This 490-nucleotide ribosomal RNA is filed under the name uncultured bacterium. RNAcentral's name for it is "partial 16S ribosomal RNA". It matches the Rfam family "Bacterial small subunit ribosomal RNA", at positions 28 to 507 of the family's 1533-position model. The record is from RNAcentral.
GAUGAACGCUGGCGGCGUGCCUAAUACAUGCAAGUCGAACGGUAACAGGAAGAAGCUUGCUUCUUUGCUGACGAGUGGCGGACGGGUGAGUAAUGUCUGGGAAACUGCCUGAUGGAGGGGGAUAACUACUGGAAACGGUAGCUAAUACCGCAUAACGUCGCAAGACCAAAGAGGGGGACCUUCGGGCCUCUUGCCAUCGGAUGUGCCCAGAUGGGAUUAGCUAGUAGGUGGGGUAACGGCUCACCUAGGCGACGAUCCCUAGCUGGUCUGAGAGGAUGACCAGCCACACUGGAACUGAGACACGGUCCAGACUCCUACGGGAGGCAGCAGUGGGGAAUAUUGCACAAAGGGCGCAAGCCUGAUGCAGCCAUGCCGCGUGUAUGAAGAAGGCCUUCGGGUUGUAAAGUACUUUCAGCGGGGAGGAAGGGAGUAAAGUUAAUACCUUUGCUCAUUGACGUUACCCGCAGAAGAAGCACCGGCUAACUCCGUG